RNAcentral lists this ribosomal RNA (256 nucleotides) under uncultured bacterium. RNAcentral describes it as "partial 16S ribosomal RNA". It matches the Rfam family "Bacterial small subunit ribosomal RNA", at positions 524 to 776 of the family's 1533-position model. The record is from RNAcentral.
UACGGGGGGGAGCAAGCGUUGUUCGGAUUUACUGGGCGUAAAGGGCGCGUAGGCGGUCGUGACAAGUCACUUGUGAAAUCUCCGGGCUUAACUCGGAACGGUCAAGUGAUACUGUCGGACUAGAGUACAGAAGGGGCAACUGGAAUUCUCGGUGUAGCGGUGAAAUGCGUAGAUAUUAGGAGGAACACCGGUGGCGAAGGCGCCACUCUGGGCCGAAAACUGACGCUGAGGAGCGAAAGCAUGGGUAGCAAACAGG